GACAGAGGGUGCAAACGUUGUUCGGAAUUACUGGGCGUAAAGCGCGUGUAGGCGGCUCUGCAAGUCGGAUGUGAAAGCCCUCGGCUCAACCGAGGAAGUGCACCCGAAACUGCAGAGCUAGAGUCUCGGAGAGGAUCGUGGAAUUCUCGGUGUAGAGGUGAAAUUCGUAGAUAUCGGGAGGAACACCAGUGGCGAAGGCGGCUUCCUGGCCUGUUCUUGACGCUGAGGCGCGAAAGCUAGGGGAGCAAACGGG
This 253-nucleotide ribosomal RNA is filed under the name uncultured bacterium. Its description in RNAcentral is "partial 16S ribosomal RNA". It matches the Rfam family "Bacterial small subunit ribosomal RNA", at positions 524 to 776 of the family's 1533-position model. The record is from RNAcentral.